Molecule: ribosomal RNA, 522 nt
Filed under: uncultured bacterium
Lineage: Bacteria
Description: bacterial SSU rRNA
Rfam family: Bacterial small subunit ribosomal RNA
Source: RNAcentral
AGUUGAUCAGUGCUCGAGGACGACGCUGGCGGCGUGCCUAAUACAUGCAAGUCGAGCGAAUGAUGAGGAGCUUGCUCCUUGAUUAGCGGCGGACGGGUGAGUAACACGUGGGUAACCUACCCUAUAGACUGGGAUAACUUCGGGAAACCGGAGCUAAUACCGGAUAAUACUUUUGAACUCAUGUUCGGAAGUUGAAAGAUGGUUUCGGCUAUCACUAUAGGAUGGACCCGCGGCGCAUUAGCUAGUUGGUGAGGUAACGGCUCACCAAGGCAACGAUGCGUAGCCGACCUGAGAGGGUGAUCGGCCACACUGGGACUGAGACACGGCCCAGACUCCUACGGGAGGCAGCAGUAGGGAAUCUUCCACAAUGGACGAAAGUCUGAUGGAGCAACGCCGCGUGAGUGAAGAAGGAUUUCGGUUCGUAAAACUCUGUUGCAAGGGAAGAACAAGUAGCGUAGUAACUGGCGCUACCUUGACGGUACCUUGUUAGAAAGCCACGGCUAACUACGUGCCAGCCGCUGC